RNAcentral lists this ribosomal RNA (497 nucleotides) under uncultured bacterium. RNAcentral describes it as "partial 16S ribosomal RNA". It matches the Rfam family "Bacterial small subunit ribosomal RNA", at positions 28 to 507 of the family's 1533-position model. The record is from RNAcentral.
GACGAACGCUGGCGGCGUGCCUAAUACAUGCAAGUUGAGCGCUGAAGGUUGGUACUUGUACCAACUGGAUGAGCAGCGAACGGGUGAGUAACGCGCGGGGAAUCUGCCUUUGAGCGGGGGACAACAUUUGGAAACGAAUGCUAAUACCGCAUAAAAACUUUAAACACAAGUUUUAAGUUUGAAAGAUGCAAUUGCAUCACUCAAAGAUGAUCCCGCGUUGUAUUAGCUAGUUGGUGAGGUAAAGGCUCACCAAGGCGAUGAUACAUAGCCGACCUGAGAGGGUGAUCGGCCACAUUGGGACUGAGACACGGCCCAAACUCCUACGGGAGGCAGCAGUAGGGAAUCUUCGGCAAUGGACGAAAGUCUGACCGAGCAACGCCGCGUGAGUGAAGAAGGGUUUCGGAUCGUAAAACUCGGUUGGUAGAGAAGAACGUUGGUGAGAGUGGAAAGCUCAUCAAGUGACGGUAACUACCCAGAAAGGGACGGCUAACUACGUG